Macadamia integrifolia is the source of this 865-nucleotide RNA transcript. It is a transcript of the gene named phosphopantetheine adenylyltransferase 1-like, with no coding region annotated. Lineage: Eukaryota; Viridiplantae; Streptophyta; Magnoliopsida; Proteales; Proteaceae. The transcript is spliced from 2 exons. The record is from RefSeq and is a predicted model, not a curated record.
UUUAGAUAUACACUUUACAAUUAAAUACCUGACAUCUUUUUGUAAAAUACCUGACAUCUCGGAGUUAAGAAAUGCGAAUUACACUUUUCUCUCUCUUUCUCUCAUCUUUGCUACUGCCGGCUCUCCACUGAAAGAUUCUUUCAACUCACCGGCUCCGAUCGAACUCCUCUACGGGGAGGGAAUCUGGCGGAGAACUGACGAAGACGAUUUUGGAUCCCCCUCUUCUUCUUCUACCUCCCUCCUCACCUUUCUCCAAAUCACGAAGACAGAACUAGGGUUUCUCCUUCUUCUUCUUCCUCAUUCAAAUGAAAGAAUACAGAUAAUCGAUCAUGCAUCCCCUUCUUCUCAAGCAGAAGAGCUUGCUAGGGAUCGGGUGGUUGUGGGGAUUUGUGAUGGACCAAUGCUGAUGAAGAAAGAGGUUUUUCUGUUUAUUUCAUAUUUGUGAUUAUGUCAAUUUAUUCGGAUGUUUUUGCACGGUUUCAUGGAUGAUAGAGUAGCUUGAAUAGAGGAUUUGUGCCGUUCUGGUUUUUCUACAGUUGGCGGACUUGAUUGAGCCCAUCGAUGUGAGAGUGAAAGCUGUAGAGGAUUACAUCAAGGUAAGAUAGGAAAAUCCUCCUCACAGCAUUUUCUAGUUUUUUGCAAAUUGAUGGGUUUUUGCUGUAUACGUUGUCCAAACUCAUUUAAUCUUCUUGUCACUACUCGAUUCUGUCAAAAAGGAAUUUUUUUGCAAGAAAUCAGAUGGUUCAAAAGUUGUGGGGAACUUAGAACUGAAAAUUUCUCAGCAUUACAUAAUUUUGUAUAGUUAUGGUGAAUGUCAGUAUGACUUGUGGUUAAUUCAUCCUUUAACUAGUCUUUCACUUUCCAA